AAAUCUCAACCUCCUCGGUUUCUUCUGGACACCGAAGGAGGCUUGGACUUUGGAGGCCUUUGCUGGCGUCUCUCUCUUUUGAGAGCCAGCUCCUCUUAAAUGAAUUAGCAGGGUCCUCUUUGCCGAUUCUCGACGUGUGAUAAGAUGUUUCCAUGUCUUGGGUUUCUGGCUCUGUCACCUUUGGGACCUGCUUCUAAUCGUCAUGACCUUGCGUCAAGACAACGUUUGAGCGUGUCUCCCUUCCCGGGAAACCCUCUCGACCCACGAAC
This 269-nucleotide unclassified non-coding RNA is filed under the name uncultured Lactarius. RNAcentral describes it as "sequence contains ITS2". Lineage: Eukaryota; Fungi; Basidiomycota; Agaricomycetes; Russulales; Russulaceae. The record is from RNAcentral.